UGAGAUAAAAUAGCAAAAUAAACUAACAUUUGUUAGUUGCUGGGAGCCAUUAGCCAAGUAGGUAUGACAAUUUCCUUGCCAGCGUACCCCAUGUUGCUGACAUGUUGCAGUGACAUUGAAUGUAGGUGACCUUGCUCAAGGACCAAGGCGGAUUAGGGCGUUCCCGGUUUAGGUUCCAGGUUUAAGGUUUAAGAUUAUUCCUGCUGGGAAUAGGGCGUAUCCUGCUGCCUGAGUUCCCCUUGAGUUCUCACGGGAUUCAGACAGUAUAUUUUGGAGAUAGAAGCCCAGUGGAGGUG
RNAcentral lists this long non-coding RNA (296 nucleotides) under Marmota monax (woodchuck). Lineage: Eukaryota; Metazoa; Chordata; Mammalia; Rodentia; Sciuridae. The record is from RNAcentral.